Molecule: ribosomal RNA, 228 nt
Filed under: uncultured bacterium
Lineage: Bacteria
Description: partial 16S ribosomal RNA
Rfam family: Bacterial small subunit ribosomal RNA
Source: RNAcentral
CGGGUGAGUAAUGUAUGGGGAGCUGCCUGAUGGCGGGGGAUAACUACUGGAAACGGUAGCUAAUACCGCAUAAUGUCUGCGGACCAAAGAGGGGGACCUUCGGGCCUCUUGCCAUCGGAUGUGCCCAGAUGGGAUUAGCUAGUAGGUGGGGUAACGGCUCACCUAGGCGACGAUCCCUAGCUGGUCUGAGAGGAUGACCAGCCACACUGGAACUGAGACACGGUCCAG